UACGUAGGGUGCGAGCGCUAAUCGGAAUUACUGGGCGUAAAGCGUGCGCAGGCGGUUUUGUAAGCCAGAUGUGAAAUCCCCGGGCUUAACCUGGGAAUGGCAUUUGGGACUGCAAGGCUCGAGUGCGGCAGAGGAGACUGGAAUUCCUGGUGUAGCAGUGAAAUGCGUAGAUAUCAGGAGGAACACCGAUGGCGAAGGCAGGUCUCUGGGCUGACACUGACGCUCAUGCACGAAAGCGUGGGGAGCAAACAGG
This 253-nucleotide ribosomal RNA is filed under the name uncultured bacterium. Its description in RNAcentral is "partial 16S ribosomal RNA". It matches the Rfam family "Bacterial small subunit ribosomal RNA", at positions 524 to 776 of the family's 1533-position model. The record is from RNAcentral.